UAGGAAUAUCCCCUCGUUUGGAAGGACGCAGUGGAAUCUAACACAAUUGAAUCUCAUACCAACUCAGUCGCAGCCGUACUAAGGUUAGGAAUAUCCCCUCGUUUGGAAGGACGCAGUGAAAUCAAACACAAUUGAAUCUCAUACCAACUCAGUCGCAGCCAUACUAAGGUUUUAUCGUCAAUACCUUUCCAAAUAUGUGGAAACGAAAAUCGAAGACAAAAAGAUGUAGUUUCUGUCUAAAUGACAUCCCUCCAUCUACAUUGGAUCAAGACAAGGGAUCCAUUUUAACUUCUGCUGACUUACUUCCGUCCUCUGAAUGGAAUCGGAGAUACGGCAAAAUUACUUUCAUAUAUGGAAACCAUUCCGAGCAAUCAAAUACAGCUGAUGAUCAUUCAAAUGAAUAUAAACCAUAUAAUUUUUCUGAUUCAAAACAUUCUACGACCAUUGCGCAAAAAGAUGAAAUUUGCGCUAAAAAACGACAGGGCGUUGCUCUUAAACUAAGAAAUGGCGUGAAGAAAAAGUGUAACGUUCUUCGAAAAAGAAUCAGGCAAACGUUUUUUGGUGAUGAAUGCAAACGGCCAAUCCAGGAAACACCACAGAAUAUAGACAGUGACAAUGAAACAACAUUGCUGUCUUCAUAUUCAGAUGUUCUUUGCAACAAAGACAAAAUUUCAGCUUUAUCUAUGGAAAAUGGAGACGAGCAGUUGAAAACGGAAUUCGAAAAUGACGAAAAAGAAGA
Molecule: long non-coding RNA, 739 nt
Organism: Pecten maximus
Lineage: Eukaryota; Metazoa; Mollusca; Bivalvia; Pectinida; Pectinidae
Exons: 3
Source: RefSeq, a predicted model, not a curated record